This 1119-nucleotide ribosomal RNA is filed under the name Diptychus maculatus (scaly osman). RNAcentral describes it as "partial 16S ribosomal RNA". It matches the Rfam family "Bacterial large subunit ribosomal RNA", at positions 157 to 2065 of the family's 2925-position model. The record is from RNAcentral. Lineage: Eukaryota; Metazoa; Chordata; Actinopteri; Cypriniformes; Cyprinidae.
GCCAAACAGCUAGCUCACCCAUCCAAUAACUAAGCAAUGUAAAUAAAACAAAAUAAGCCUAACCCUAAAAAUUAAACCAUUCUUUUACCUUAGUAUGGGAGACAGAAAAGGUUACACCUGGAGCAAUAGAGAUAGUACCGCAAGGGAAAGCUGAAAGAGAAGUGAAAUAACUCAUAUAAGCACAGAAAAGCAAAGAUUAAAUCUUGUACCUUUCGCAUCAUGAUUUAGCCAGUACACCCAAGCAAAGAGACCUUUAGUUUGAAACCCCGAAACCAGGUGAGCUACCCCGAGACAGCCUAUUAAGGGCCAACCCGUCUCUGUGGCAAAAGAGUGGGAAGAGCUCCGGGUAGAGGUGACAAAUCUACCGAACCUGGUGAUAGCUGGUUGCCUAAGAAGUGAAUAGAAGUUCAGCCUCGUGUUCCCUAGAUCAGACGUUAAAAAGAAGAUACUAUAAGAGUAACGCACGAGAGUUAGUUAAAGGGGGUACAGCCCCUUUAACAAAGGACACAACCUUUACAGGAGGAUAAAGAUCAUAAUACAUAAAACAUCCUGUUCUAGUGGGCCUAAAGGCAGCCAUCUAAACAGAAAGCGUUAAAGCUCAGACAGAAGUAAGUUUAUUAUUCCGACAAAAAAUCUUAUUCCCCUAACUACUAUUAGGCCAGCCCAUGCCCGCAUGGGAGGGACUAUGCUAGAAUGAGUAACAAGAAGGCCUGCCCUUCUCCAAGCACAAGUGUAAGCCAAACCGGACCAACCAUUGGCAAUUAACGAACUCAACCCAAGAGAGUAAUGUGGAUUGCAACAAGACCAAGUAGAACCCACAGCAAACCUAUCGUUACCCCCACACUGGUGUGCUAUUAAGGAAAGACUAAAAGAAGGGGAAGGAACUCGGCAAACUCAAGCCUCGCCUGUUUACCAAAAACAUCGCCUCCUGCAACAAAACCUAGUAUAGGAGGUCCAGCCUGCCCAGUGACUAUAAGUUCAACGGCCGCGGUAUUUUGACCGUGCAAAGGUAGCGUAAUCACUUGUCUCUUAAAUGGAGACCUGUAUGAAUGGCUAAACGAGGGCUUAACUGUCUCCCCCCUCCAGUCAGUGAAAUUGAUCUAUCCGUGCAGAAGCGGG